AUUGAACGCUGGCGGCAUGCCUUACACAUGCAAGUCGAACGGUAACGGGCCUUCGGGUGCCGACGAGUGGCGAACGGGUGAGUAAUACAUCGGAACGUGCCCGAUCGUGGGGGAUAACGUGGCGAAAGCUUUGCUAAUACCGCAUACGAUCUACGGAUGAAAGCAGGGGACCGCAAGGCCUUGCGCGGACGGAGCGGCCGAUGGCAGACUAGGUAGUUGGUGGGAUAAAAGCUUACCAAGCCGACGAUCUGCAGCUGGUCUGAGAGGAUGAUCAGCCACACUGGGACUGAGACACGGCCCAGACUCCUACGGGAGGCAGCAGUGGGGAAUUUUGGACAAUGGGCGCAAGCCUGAUCCAGCCAUGCCGCGUGCAGGAUGAUGGCCUUCGGGUUGUAAACUGCUUUUGUACGGAACGAAAAGCCUUCUUUUAAUACAGGAGGGUCAUGACGGUACCGGAAGAAUAAGCACCGGCUAACUACGUG
RNAcentral lists this ribosomal RNA (482 nucleotides) under uncultured bacterium. RNAcentral's name for it is "partial 16S ribosomal RNA". It matches the Rfam family "Bacterial small subunit ribosomal RNA", at positions 30 to 507 of the family's 1533-position model. The record is from RNAcentral.